Long non-coding RNA from Nymphalis io (European peacock), 432 nucleotides. RefSeq lists it as uncharacterized. Lineage: Eukaryota; Metazoa; Arthropoda; Insecta; Lepidoptera; Nymphalidae. The transcript has 3 exons. The record is from RefSeq and is a predicted model, not a curated record.
AUUCACCAAUGACGUUGUACAUCAUGUCGUUUGAUGACAUUUAUUCUAGUUUGAUUCAGUGCGUAUAAAAGAAAUUCAGUACCUAUAAACGUGCUUGUCUUUGUCAUCACAUAUUUUAAAACGUUAUUCUACUAUACAGAUUAUUUCAUCACGCUGCUCCAAUGCAUUGGUGGAUGACAUGUGGCAGAAUUUCAUCCGAGACGAGUGGUUCUUGCUCAGUAAUCAUACGUCGAGUUUUGUUAUCUCAAAAUGGAUGGAGUGAUGGAUAAUAAGGAUAAAAUGUAAGAAACGUAAAUUGGGUUCAGUUGCUUAGGACUUUUAUCUAGUAGUGGACGAACUAGUGGUGGAAAGUAUCUAGAAGUGGGCUUAUGGCGAUAUUGGAUUUCGUUGAUAUCAAAAUAUUCCGAAACCUGAUAAUAUAUUAUAUUUUUU